Molecule: ribosomal RNA, 361 nt
Filed under: uncultured Coriobacteriales bacterium
Lineage: Bacteria; Bacillati; Actinomycetota; Coriobacteriia; Coriobacteriales
Description: bacterial SSU rRNA
Rfam family: Bacterial small subunit ribosomal RNA
Source: RNAcentral
AGUAGUUUGAUCAGUGGCUCGAGACGAACGCUGGCGGCGUGCCUAACACAUGCAAGUCGAGCGGAGACAUACGACGGAUAGGAAGUUUUCGGAUGGAAUUGAAGAUGUAUGUUUUAGCGGCGGACGGGUGAGUAACGCGUGAACAAUCUGUCCUUCACAGGGGGAUAACACAGCGAAAGUUGUACUAAUACCGCAUAAGACCACGCUGAGGCAUCUCAGAGGGGUCAAAGGAGAAUCCGGUGGAGGGUGAGUUCGCGUCCGAUUAGAUAGUAGGUGAGGUAACGGCCCACCUAGUCGACGAUCGGUAGCCGACCUGAGAGGGUGAUCGGCCACAUUGGGACUGAGACACGGCCCAAACUCC